RNAcentral lists this long non-coding RNA (363 nucleotides) under Nicotiana benthamiana. RNAcentral describes it as "long non-coding RNA (NBEN_LNC016358)". Lineage: Eukaryota; Viridiplantae; Streptophyta; Magnoliopsida; Solanales; Solanaceae. The record is from RNAcentral.
CGAGCCAUGUCAUUUACCAAUGUUUUAGAGUAAAAUUUUCCUCUGUCGGAUAUUUGCAUGCCUAAAAACCCAAUUUGUUGAACCACCUUAUUAAGGGCAGAUUCACUCUUGGAAUCAAUUAGAACACCAAUGCCAGAUGACUUGUGCACAAAGUCAAUAAUUGGAAGUUUCUCAUUACGCAAGUGAUGUUCUAAUUGUACUUCCACAGAGGCCAGAUGACUUGUGCACAAGGUCAAUAACUGGAAGUUUCUCAUUACGCAAGUGAUGUUCUAAUUGUAUUUCCACAGACUCAUUAUAGGAUGACCGCAAGUGAUGCAACAACUUGGACAUGCACUGAACUCUUUCCUGGAUACCAUCCCUAAC